UACGUAGGCAGCGAGCGUUGUUCGGAUUCAUUGGGCGUAAAGGGUGCGUAGGCGGCGCGGUAAGUCGGGUGUGAAAUCUCGGAGCUUAACUCCGAAACUGCAUUCGAUACUGCCGUGCUUGAGGACUGGAGAGGAGACUGGAAUUUACGGUGUAGCGGUGAAAUGCGUAGAUAUCGUAAGGAAGACCAGUGGCGAAGGCGGGUCUCUGGACAGUUCCUGACGCUGAGGCACGAAGGCCAGGGGAGCAAACGGG
RNAcentral lists this ribosomal RNA (253 nucleotides) under uncultured bacterium. RNAcentral describes it as "partial 16S ribosomal RNA". It matches the Rfam family "Bacterial small subunit ribosomal RNA", at positions 524 to 776 of the family's 1533-position model. The record is from RNAcentral.